AUCUGGCUGACGAGUCCCAAAUAGGACGAAACUGCGCCUCCUGCAU
Non-coding RNA from Schistosoma mansoni, 46 nucleotides. Lineage: Eukaryota; Metazoa; Platyhelminthes; Trematoda; Strigeidida; Schistosomatidae. The record is from Rfam.